Molecule: non-coding RNA, 148 nt
Filed under: Pan troglodytes (chimpanzee)
Lineage: Eukaryota; Metazoa; Chordata; Mammalia; Primates; Hominidae
Source: Rfam by way of RNAcentral
GCCGGGUGUGGUGGCGUGCACCUGUAGUCCCAGCUACUCGGGAGGCUGAGGCGGGAGAAUUGCUUGAACCUGGGAGGCAGAGGUUGCAGUGAGCUGAGAUAGUGCCACUGCACUCCAGCCUAGGUGACAGAGUGAGACUCUGUCUCAA